GGGCUACUAGCUCAGCUGGCUAGAGCACUAGACUUUUAAUCUAGGUGUCCCGGGUUCGAGUCCCGGGUGGCUCA
RNAcentral lists this transfer RNA (74 nucleotides) under Firmicutes bacterium HGW-Firmicutes-1. Its description in RNAcentral is "tRNA-Lys". It matches the Rfam family "tRNA". Rfam says of the family: Transfer RNA (tRNA) molecules are approximately 80 nucleotides in length. Their secondary structure includes four short double-helical elements and three loops (D, anti-codon, and T loops). Further hydrogen bonds mediate the characteristic L-shaped molecular structure. tRNAs have two regions of fundamental functional importance: the anti-codon, which is responsible for specific mRNA codon recognition, and the 3' end, to which the tRNAs corresponding amino acid is attached (by aminoacyl-tRNA synthetases). tRNAs cope with the degeneracy of the genetic code in two manners: having more than one tRNA (with a specific anti-codon) for a particular amino acid; and 'wobble' base-pairing, i.e. permitting non-standard base-pairing at the 3rd anti-codon position. Lineage: Bacteria; Bacillati; Bacillota. The record is from RNAcentral. RNAcentral also lists the same sequence under 1 other name.